This 233-nucleotide long non-coding RNA is filed under the name Elaeis guineensis (African oil palm). RNAcentral describes it as "long non-coding RNA (EGUI_LNC042497)". Lineage: Eukaryota; Viridiplantae; Streptophyta; Magnoliopsida; Arecales; Arecaceae. The record is from RNAcentral.
CGAUCUGAUCGAUCUUCUUGAGAGUGCUAGCUCAUGCGAAGACCUUCUUCUUGACUGAUCUAGAUCCUUUCUUCAUAUCUCUGGAAUCUUUUCAAAGGUUGAAGAUGGACUUCUAGAGGAUAUAAAGAGAUGCAAGAAAGAUAGAGAAGAAAAUAAUUUUUUUUAAUUUACUUCUUCCUCCCAAAUCCUUAGAACCAAAAAUCUGAAAUUCAGAUUUUUGCGCACACCCCAAG